AGUGAACGCUGGCGGUAGGCCUAACACAUGCAAGUCGAACGGCAGCACAGUAAGAGCUUGCUCUUACGGGUGGCGAGUGGCGGACGGGUGAGGAAUACAUCGGAAUCUACUUUUUCGUGGGGGAUAACGUAGGGAAACUUACGCUAAUACCGCAUACAACCUACGGGUGAAAGCAGGGGAUCUUCGGACCUUGCGCGAUUGAAUGAGCCGAUGUCGGAUUAGCUAGUUGGCGGGGUAAAGGCCCACCAAGGCGACGAUCCGUAGCUGGUCUGAGAGGAUGAAUCCACAGAAUGGAACUGAGACACGGUCCCGACUCCUACGGGAGGACGCAGUGGGGAAUCUUGGACAAUGGGCGGAAGCCUGAUCCAGCCAUACCGCGUGAGUGAAGAAGGCCUUCGGGUUGUAAAGCCCUUUUGUUGGGAAAGAAAAGCAGCAGGUUAAUACCCCGCUGUUCUGACGGUACCCAAAGAAUAAGCACCGGCUAACUUCGUG
RNAcentral lists this ribosomal RNA (492 nucleotides) under uncultured bacterium. RNAcentral's name for it is "partial 16S ribosomal RNA". It matches the Rfam family "Bacterial small subunit ribosomal RNA", at positions 29 to 507 of the family's 1533-position model. The record is from RNAcentral.